GGGUUGUGAGGUUAAGCGACUAAGCGUACACGGUGGAUGCCCUGGCAGUCAGAGGCGAUGAAGGACGUGCUAAUCUGCGAAAAGCGUCGGUAAGGUGAUAUGAACCGUUAUAACCGGCGAUGUCCGAAUGGGGAAACCCAGUGCAAUUCGUUGCACUAUCGUUAACUGAAUACAUAGGUUAACGAGGCGAACCGGGGGAACUGAAACAUCUAAGUACCCCGAGGAAAAGAAAUCAACCGAGAUUCCCCCAGUAGCGGCGAGCGAACGGGGAGCAGCCCAGAGUCUGAAUCAGCUUGUGUGUUAGUGGAACGGUCUGGAAAGUCCGACGGUACAGGGUGAUAGUCCCGUACACCAAAAUGCACAGGUUGUGAACUCGAAGAGUAGGGCGGGACACGUGGUAUCCUGUCUGAAUAUGGGGGGACCAUCCUCCAAGGCUAAAUACUCCUGACUGACCGAUAGUGAACCAGUACCGUGAGGGAAAGGCGAAAAGAACCCCGGCGAGGGGAGUGAAAAAGAACCUGAAACCGUGUACGUACAAGCAGUGGGAGCACCUUCGGGUGUGACUGCGUACCUUUGUAUAAUGGGUCAGCGACUUAUAUUCUGUAGCAAGGUUAACCGUAUAGGGGAGCCGCAGGGAAACCGAGUCUUAACUGGGCGUUAAGUUGCAGGGUAUAGACCCGAAACCCGGUGAUCUAGCCAUGGGCAGGUUGAAGGUUGGGUAACACUAACUGGAGGACCGAACCGACUAAUGUUGAAAAAUUAGCGGAUGACUUGUGGCUGGGGGUGAAAGGCCAAUCAAACCGGGAGAUAGCUGGUUCUCCCGAAAGCUAUUUAGGUAGCGCCUCGUGAAUUCAUCUUCGGGGGUAGAGCACUGUUUCGGCUAGGGGGUCAUCCCGACUUACCAACCCGAUGCAAACUACGAAUACCGAAGAAUGUUAUCACGGGAGACACACGGCGGGUGCUAACGUCCGUCGUGAAGAGGGAAACAACCCAGACCGCCAGCUAAGGUCCCAAAGUCAUGGUUAAGUGGGAAACGAUGUGGGAAGGCACAGACAGCCAGGAUGUUGGCUUAGAAGCAGCCAUCAUUUAAAGAAAGCGUAAUAGCUCACUGGUCGAGUCGGCCUGCGCGGAAGAUGUAACGGGGCUAAACCAUGCACCGAAGCUGCGGCAGCGACACUAUGUGUUGUUGGGUAGGGGAGCGUUCUGUAAGCCUGCGAAGGUGACCUGUGAGGGUUGCUGGAGGUAUCAGAAGUGCGAAUGCUGACAUAAGUAACGAUAAAGCGGGUGAAAAGCCCGCUCGCCGGAAGACCAAGGGUUCCUGUCCAACGUUAAUCGGGGCAGGGUGAGUCGACCCCUAAGGCGAGGCCGAAAGGCGUAGUCGAUGGGAAACAGGUUAAUAUUCCUGUACUUGGUGUUACUGCGAAGGGGGGACGGAGAAGGCUAUGUUAGCCGGGCGACGGUUGUCCCGGUUUAAGCAUGUAGGCUGGUUGUCCAGGCAAAUCCGGAUAAUCAAGGCUGAGGUGUGAUGACGAGGCACUACGGUGCUGAAGUAACAAAUGCCCUGCUUCCAGGAAAAGCCUCUAAGCAUCAGGUAACAUCAAAUCGUACCCCAAACCGACACAGGUGGUCAGGUAGAGAAUACCAAGGCGCUUGAGAGAACUCGGGUGAAGGAACUAGGCAAAAUGGUGCCGUAACUUCGGGAGAAGGCACGCUGGUGUGUAGGUGAAGUCCCUGCGGAUGGAGCUGAGACCAGUCGAAGAUACCAGCUGGCUGCAACUGUUUAUUAAAAACACAGCACUGUGCAAACACGAAAGUGGACGUAUACGGUGUGACGCCUGCCCGGUGCCGGAAGGUUAAUUGAUGGGGUUAUCCGUAAGGAGAAGCUCUUGAUCGAAGCCCCGGUAAACGGCGGCCGUAACUAUAACGGUCCUAAGGUAGCGAAAUUCCUUGUCGGGUAAGUUCCGACCUGCACGAAUGGCGUAAUGAUGGCGGGCUGUCUCCACCCGAGACUCAGUGAAAUUGAACUCGCUGUGAAGAUGCAGUGUACCCGCGGCAAGACGGAAAGACCCCGUGAACCUUUACUAUAGCUUGACACUGAACAUUGAGCCUUGAUGUGUAGGAUAGGUGGGAGGCUUUGAAGCGUGGACGCCAGUCUGCGUGGAGCCAACCUUGAAAUACCACCCUUUAAUGUUUGAUGUUCUAACGUUGGCCCCUUACCGGGGUUGCGGACAGUGUCUGGUGGGUAGUUUGACUGGGGCGGUCUCCUCCCAAAGCGUAACGGAGGAGCACGAAGGUUAGCUAAUCUGGUCGGACAUCAGGAGGUUAGUGCAAUGGCAUAAGCUAGCUUGACUGCGAGCGUGACGGCGCGAGCAGGUGCGAAAGCAGGUCAUAGUGAUCCGGUGGUUCUGAAUGGAAGGGCCAUCGCUCAACGGAUAAAAGGUACUCCGGGGAUAACAGGCUGAUACCGCCCAAGAGUUCAUAUCGACGGCGGUGUUUGGCACCUCGAUGUCGGCUCAUCACAUCCUCGGGGCUGAAGUAGGUCCCAAGGGUAUGGCUGUUCGCCAUUUAAAGUGGUACGCGAGCUGGGUUUAGAACGUCGUGAGACAGUUCGGUCCCUAUCUGCCGUGGGCGCUGGAGAAUUGAGGGGGGCUGCUCCUAGUACGAGAGGACCGGAGUGGACGCAUCACUGGUGUUCGGGUUGUCAUGCCAAUGGCACUGCCCGGUAGCUAAAUGCGGAAGAGAUAAGUGCUGAAAGCAUCUAAGCACGAAACUUGCCCCGAGAUGAGUUCUCCCUGAGACUUUAAGUCUCCUGAAGGAACGUUAAAGACGAUGACGUUGAUAGGCCGGGUGUGUAAGCGCAGCGAUGCGUUGAGCUAACCGGUACUAAUGAACCGUGAGGCUUAACCUUACAACGCCGAAG
This 2920-nucleotide ribosomal RNA is filed under the name Klebsiella pneumoniae. RNAcentral describes it as "23S ribosomal RNA". It matches the Rfam family "Bacterial large subunit ribosomal RNA". Lineage: Bacteria; Pseudomonadati; Pseudomonadota; Gammaproteobacteria; Enterobacterales; Enterobacteriaceae. The record is from RNAcentral.